Molecule: non-coding RNA, 312 nt
Organism: Salmo salar (Atlantic salmon)
Lineage: Eukaryota; Metazoa; Chordata; Actinopteri; Salmoniformes; Salmonidae
Source: RefSeq, a predicted model, not a curated record
AGAGAACAGGUAGAACCUGAUAUGUAAAUGAGCAGAGCAAACGAAAGCAACUUUCAACGACCGAAUGAUCAUUAUAGACUCUGUUUCUAUUGAGAGAUAAAAGGCUGGUUGAAUGAGUUGCCUGUGAAAGCUACUUCAUCUGCAAGAAAACAGGCGGCUGCACCAGUGACUGUCAGAAGUUUUGUGAUUUCCUCAUAUGAACGUGAAAGGGUCAGUGCUCUAAAAUGAGUCUCUCUGGGGAGAGAGAGGAGGGACCUGCCUCUAAAAUGAGACUCUCUGGGGAGAGAGAGGAGGGGGGUCCUGCCUCUAAAA